AGUGAACGCUGGCGGUAGGCCUAACACAUGCAAGUCGAACGGCAGCACAGUAAGAGCUUGCUCUUACGGGUGGCGAGUGGCGGACGGGUGAGGAAUACAUCGGAAUCUACUUUUUCGUGGGGGAUAACGUAGGGAAACUUACGCUAAUACCGCAUACGACCUACGGGUGAAAGCAGGGGAUCUUCGGACCUUGCGCGAUUGAAUGAGCCGAUGUCGGAUUAGCUAGUUGGCGGGGUAAAGGCCCACCAAGGCGACGAUCCGUAGCUGGUCUGAGAGGAUGAUCAGCCACACUGGAACUGAGACACGGUCCAGACUCCUACGGGAGGCAGCAGUGGGGAAUAUUGGACAAGGGGCGCAAGCCUGAUCCAGCCAUACCGCGUGGGUGAAGAAGGCCUUCGGUUUGUAAAGCCCUUUUGUUGGGAAAGAAAAGCAGCAGGUUAAUACCCCGCUGUUCUGACGGUACCCAAAGAAUAAGCACCGGCUAACUUCGUG
This 492-nucleotide ribosomal RNA is filed under the name uncultured bacterium. RNAcentral's name for it is "partial 16S ribosomal RNA". It matches the Rfam family "Bacterial small subunit ribosomal RNA", at positions 29 to 507 of the family's 1533-position model. The record is from RNAcentral.